Long non-coding RNA from Stegastes partitus (bicolor damselfish), 275 nucleotides. RefSeq lists it as uncharacterized. The transcript is spliced from 3 exons. The record is from RefSeq and is a predicted model, not a curated record. NCBI's taxonomy places the organism in Eukaryota, Metazoa, Chordata, Actinopteri, Pomacentridae.
ACUGCUGGAUGUCUGACGAGAACAACAGCAGAACGCUUCAUGGUCCAGUAAUUAAACAUGUGUCCUCUGCUGGAUCCGUCUGACCGUCCGAUCUGCUGGAAGCUACUCUGUCUGUGUUCUGACCAGUCGGUGGCUGUGGCCCUUUGAUUUCUGGACAUACUGAACCCUGAACGUGGCUUCACAGAAACCUCCAGCGGCUGUCCGUUGCAGAACGCUCCCUUCCCCCUCCUGGCUGUGAACAUCUUAUCUUCCAGACAGCUGUAUACGACACCAAA